Long non-coding RNA from Neltuma alba, 2236 nucleotides. RefSeq lists it as uncharacterized. The record is from RefSeq and is a predicted model, not a curated record. The transcript has 3 exons. NCBI's taxonomy places the organism in Eukaryota, Viridiplantae, Streptophyta, Magnoliopsida, Fabales, Fabaceae.
UAGUGAUAGGUAAGUAAUUCACUUGAACACGAACUCCGGAGGCAUGGAGUUGAAGAUGGGCCAGUGAUUAAGAAAGAAUGAAUGGGGAAUAGCGUGAUGGCCACAGGCGAGCCGACGGGUCCUGCUUCGGAAAUGAUGGUGGAAUUUGAUUGAUUAGGCUUUGCCUCUGCCCCGUGUUUGACAAGAGUUUCCCAAGGUUUCAGUGGAGGGUCCAUCUCAAAUUGAUCACAACGCGCUAGGAAUUGACUAGUUAGAUCUCUGGUUGCACUGAUGUGUAUGACUGUGGGUUCUAGAUGCGAUCUUUUGCAAUUAAUAAGGGAAUUUUCUUUGGGUUGUUCUGUCAAAAAGGUAAAUACCGCAAGGGCAAAAGAGGAUGCUUUCUUCAGACGACAUGAUGCUCCAGAAUGAAUGCAGAGUGCCGACGAAAGCUGAAUAAGAGCGUGAGAAUAGCCAGGCCACGUGGACAACUCACAGAGAAGUAAUGUCAAAGUCUGGAGAAUAAUUACACUUCCAUAUCAAAGUGGCAGUGCAUCGGCUUAUCAUUACGUCGGUGAUGUUUAACAGGACUUCUUUCACACAUCCUUCGGGCCCAUGCCCCCUAUCACAUCUGAGACGAACAUGUGGACAUUAUUCUUCUUUUUUUUUUCCCGGCCUUUAAUUUGUUGCGAAAUUUGCACCCAGAACAACAUUUAAAAAAAAGUUAAGAACCCACAAUCAACCAGACUGUGAGAAGAAUGAGUGGGUUCAGCAGCUAUGAACUACUUUAUUUACGGCUUCCUCUAAGCUGCCCUUGCUCUAGUUUUCCCCUGUUUGUAAGUUCUUAAUCGUUUGGUUGCUCUGAAAAACCAUUGGAAAUGAUAUUUUUUUGCUCAGUUCAAGUUAAUUACAAAGGAAUAUAAUGGAGGAAUACUUUGGUAAAAGACAUCAUGUAAUUGUGGGGGAUAUCAUUCUUGCUUGUGGAUCAAUUUACGCAGGAAUUUAUAACCUUUUCGAAUUACUGAACUUUUUCAACGCUUCAUCGCCUAACUUGUAAACUUUUAUCUAGUCAAACUACCAGCCUUUUUACAUUUCAACACGUUUGUUUUCUUUUUCCACGAAAACUUGCUAACUUGUCAUCAAUUGAUAUUAAUAUGUGAACAAACAAAUACGUAGGAUAUGAUUGCAGUUGGUUAAUUUAUGCUUCUUGAGUUUGAUUUUGUAGCUCAUUUGUCAUGAUCCAACAGGGAAUGAAGGAAAUAGAAUACCUUUUUCGGCGGCAAAAGAAAAUUAAAUACUCUUUUGCUUAGACUUGGCCUCUCCUUUCCAAAACUUGUAGAUUCCUCUCUCUGUUUUUUCCCCAAAGGGUUCGGACACAUAUUCUCCCUUUUGAUCUAGAGCCUUCUUAAAUUGUUCGGCCAAUUUAGGUGUGGGUGCAGAGAUAUCAUGAGGCCAGAACCAGUGAUUAAAUCGGCUUUACUUGUGGUCUUGCCGGGAUUUCUGCUCAGGCGUGGCCAUUGAUGCUAUUGUAGGAGAUGCUGAUGUUAGGUAUCUCUCUCUCUACACUUAUGAUUUUCUUCUUAUACGCAUUGUUAUAGUUACAAAGUUGUGUCUAUCCAGUUGAUUGAAGUUGAUGCAAAUUUAGAUUCUAGGCAGACUGACAUCAGUGCAAUUUUAAGUAUGAAUAUAAUAAAAACGAAUUUAAUCUGAAUGCAACUUUCCACGAUGCUACAUGUUUCUCCGAGUACGAUGUAAAUGAGAAUGAAGUCAUUCAAAGGAGUGGGAGAGCUAUAGUGGUUGGUCAGGUUUGGCUUUCUAAUGCCACGAGAAAGCGGUUCCUGACUUUUCUUACGUAGAUUAACUGUUUAUGCCAAAUUUCCUAUUGUAUUUAGUGUAAUCAGCAGUUGCCUUUGCCAAUUGGUCAUGCGAUCGUAUUGUGGUAACCUACGAGUACUUGCACGAAUUUGCUAGUGUAUACGGACUUAACCAAGUUGGAUAUUUGUCUGCGGCUUCAAUACGCUUGAAGUUUCGAGGUGAUUUCUUACGCAGAUUUACUAUUGUAUUUAGUUGUUUUGAUUGGUUGAGUUGAAACUUGAAAGUUCUUGAGUGUUAGCUUGGGCAAUACUUUUGGGCAGAGGAAGCUGAUGAUCAAUAGUAUAACAGGGCUGAAGGAAUGUGUGCGUCUAUAUAUACUUCCUUAGCAUACAUCAUGAGAAUUUUAUUCGAUUAAGUUUCCAAAAAAACGACGGGUCGUAGAGCC